AGCUUAUGAUCACAGUCUGGCGCCAUCUCCCUCCUCGCCUGGAGUCUGAUCUGUCCCGGCCCAGUGUCCUCCAGGACCCUGGCCCCUCAUGCCUCCUUGCCUGCGCGUGUGCCAUUUCCUCUCUCCAGAGGACCUUUCCUGCCUAGGACUCAUCAUUGUCCCCUCCCUGGGGUCUUUGCUAAGCCAUUAAUAUUGAGGUGAAGAGAGAGGAGAAGAAAUGGAUUAUGCCUGACCGUGGAGAUUAGCAGCCUGCUCAGCGGAGCUGGAGUUCGCCCAAAUCAUCAUCAUCGUCGUGGUGGUCACGGUGAUGGUGGUGGUUAUCGUCUGCCUGCUGAACCACUACAAAGUCUCCACGCGGUCCUUCAUCAACCGCCCGAGCCAGAGCCGGAGGCGGGAGGACGGGCUGCCGCAGGAAGGGUGCCUGUGGCCUUCAGACAGCGCCGCACCGCGGCCGGGCGCCUCGGAGAUCAUGCAUGCCCCGCGGUCCAGGGACAGGUUCACAGCGCCGUCCUUCAUCCAGAGGGAUCGCUUCAGCCGCUUCCAGC
This 545-nucleotide small RNA is filed under the name Pongo abelii (Sumatran orangutan). RNAcentral describes it as "processed transcript". Lineage: Eukaryota; Metazoa; Chordata; Mammalia; Primates; Hominidae. The record is from RNAcentral.